Small nuclear RNA from Callithrix jacchus (white-tufted-ear marmoset), 113 nucleotides. Its record names the gene U2. It matches the Rfam family "U2 spliceosomal RNA". From Rfam's summary of the family: U2 is a small nuclear RNA (snRNA) component of the spliceosome (involved in pre-mRNA splicing). Complementary binding between U2 snRNA (in an area lying towards the 5' end but 3' to hairpin I) and the branchpoint sequence (BPS) of the intron results the bulging out of an unpaired adenosine, on the BPS, which initiates a nucleophilic attack at the intronic 5' splice site, thus starting the first of two transesterification reactions that mediate splicing. Lineage: Eukaryota; Metazoa; Chordata; Mammalia; Primates; Cebidae. The record is from Ensembl.
AUUGCUUCUCAGCCUUUUGGCUAAGAUCAAGUGUAGUAUCUGUUCUUAUCAGUUUAAUAUCUGACAUGCAGAUCAACCAGACAGAAAAUUAACAAGGAUAUCCAGGACUUGAA